AGAGCGAACGCUGGCGGCAGGCCUAAUACAUGCAAGUCGAACGGAUCCUUCGGGAUUAGUGGCGGACGGGUGAGUAACACGUGGGAACGUACCCUUUGGUUCGGAACAACUCAGGGAAACUUGAGCUAAUACCGAAUGUGCCCUUCGGGGGAAAGAUUUAUCGCCAUUGGAGCGGCCCGCGUCUGAUUAGCUAGUUGGUAGGGUAAAGGCCUACCAAGGCUACGAUCAGUAGCUGGUCUGAGAGGAUGAUCAGCCACACUGGGACUGAGACACGGCCCAGACUCCUACGGGAGGCAGCAGUAGGGAAUCUUGCGCAAUGGGCGAAAGCCUGACGCAGCCAUGCCGCGUGAAUGAUGAAGGUCUUAGGAUUGUAAAAUUCUUUCAGCGGGGACGAUAAGUGACGGUACCCGCAGAAGAAGCCCCGGCUAACUCGCGCCAGCAGCCGC
This 446-nucleotide ribosomal RNA is filed under the name uncultured bacterium. RNAcentral describes it as "SSU rRNA". It matches the Rfam family "Bacterial small subunit ribosomal RNA", at positions 26 to 518 of the family's 1533-position model. The record is from RNAcentral.